Molecule: long non-coding RNA, 2519 nt
Organism: Leopardus geoffroyi (Geoffroy's cat)
Lineage: Eukaryota; Metazoa; Chordata; Mammalia; Carnivora; Felidae
Exons: 2
Source: RefSeq, a predicted model, not a curated record
UUCCGGGCGCGGCGGGCGGGGACCGCGCGGGGGGGAGGAGGGCGGGGCGGCCGCGCGGGCGGAGGCGCGCGCCCCGGGUCCCCCGCCCCGGCGCCCGGCAAAAGUUCGGAGCGCAGCGAGGGCUCCCCGGCGCCGGAGCGCGGCAACGCACGCGCCCGACAACUAGCGGCAAGGCCCCGGGAGCCCGGACGCCGGCGCCUCGGGCGGCGAGCGGCCCCGCCCUCUCCUUCGGCGGCCCCGGGGAGGAGGGCGAGGGUGGGGGCCGGGGGACCCCGCGAGCCGAGCCUGCUUCCCGCCCCGGGAGCCUCCAACACCCCUCCCCCGCGCCCCCCCCCUCCCACCCGCCGUGGCCCGGCACCGCCCGGGGCGUCAGGCCUCCCGGUCGGGGUUGGAAGUUUCCCGGCGUCGGAGCCACUGAGCUCGCUUUUCCGCGUCCCCGGGAGCCGGGGCUCGGGGUGGGGGCCGACUCCCCUCCGAGCUCAAAGCGGGGAGUCGCCGCGGGGCGCGGAGGACUAGUGGGUGCACGGGCGGCGGGGCCGGGGCUGCCCGGCGGGUCGCGCCCCCCUGAACUGGGAGCUCCCGGAGGGGAGGGGCCGCAGAGUCCCCCGGUCGCGCAGCCCCCGGGCCCACUGUGGCUGGCAGGCUGCUCCUAAAAGAGCCACCCUAGGGCGGCGUCUCAGGGCCUUGGUGGAAACUGGGGGGCGGCGGGGGGGGGGGGCUCCAGGCCGGGGCUGUGAGGCUUCCCUCCUCCCCCACUCCUAGCCAAUGUCACCGCGCCUGGAUCUGCGGAGUCAAGACAGAGAACCGCGUGAGGCCGCGACCGGGCGCUGACACGGCGGCCGGCUGCCAAACGCAGAGAGCGGGGCCGCGGGAGACUGCCGCGGUCCGGUCCGGCGCCGCCGCCCCGGCCUGGGGGUGGAGGUCUGCCGCGGAGAGCCCCCGACCUCGGGGAAGACGGUGUGCGGCGGGCAACAGCCUCGCGGAAGAGGCUGUGCGCGGAGGGCGCUGCGGUGAGCCCGGGUUGGAAGAGUUGCCCCUUUGACAGAAGAAACCGUUUGGGUCGUGGGGGCGAUGCGGGUCCCGCGAGGGGCACGACCACGCGUCUCUCUGCCCCCGCUCCCUCCUUUCCCUUUCCACCGCUGUUGACAGCGUGCCCACCCGGGGCCGGCCCGGGCAAGGCCCCCGGGGUCCCAAGGUGGACGCGACCAGGCAGACGAAACCACGCGGGGGGGGGGGGGGGCGGCUAGCUUAAGGACCCCUGGCUUGGGAGGGCGAGCGGAGGGGCUCAGUAGGGGAACACGGUCAAAAAUGCCCUGGGUGCGCGGUGGGGCCGGAGCCAGGUUGACCUGCGAGACCUCGUGAGCCUGUCUCACUGGGCGAGACCCUCCGUGGCGAUCACGCGGACCUCCAGUGUCAUCGGAGCCGGCUCAGAACCCAGCGUCCGCAGGGCUCACGAGGGUGCGGGGGGCGGCGGACAGCGACUUCUGGCGAAGACGCAUCCACGCCUGAGCGCUCCCUGAGCUAGCAGUGAACUCAGAAAUUUGGAUCCAAAUAGCACCGGGAUGGGGUUUUCCCUUGAAAGAUAAAUUUGUGGAGCCGUUUACUCCAAAUAAGAACUAUCUGGCCAUUUGCCAGUGACCAGACUCCAAACCCGGGCUGACCGUUUUCAAACCCUUUUAGAAACGCACCCCUUUUACCACAAAGACAAUGGAUUCUCAGUGUCGCCAAAAGAACACAAAAUGAGGCAUAUGUAUUUUUAAUAAAGUCAACACUUACAAGUUACGUGUACAAGAUCUGCAGAGCAAGGAGAAAGUGGCUUAUGAAAACUGCCAACACGCCCAGGAUAACUGUAAAUCAACAUUUUGAGAAACUGUAUCGGAUCCACGACGAAGCCCACCCCACCGUUCAGAACCAGGGCUGGAGGGAGGAUGGACUGGGAGAGUGGUUUUAAACCUUUGCACGUCCGUCUGGAAUUCAGCACACAAUUACUGUGAAGUUACCCUGUUAUUAAAAUUAAGAUAACCGUAAGUCUUGAUGAUAUAAACGGCUCUGAAGGAUCUGCUUCUCCAAAUAUGUUGCCCCGUGGGCACAGAGAGCUAGCCCAUGUGAGGGGAAUGAAAAAUGCUUCUUAUUUUUUAUUUUCUCGUAGGAAAGGCAUUGUGGUUUGGGGUAAAGAGCAGAUUCUGAUACCAGACCCGGCUUCUUGUUAUGACUCCACCACUGCUGAAUUGGAAGCCAAAGGUUGUACAUUUUGAAUGUGUAUUACUGUGGAUAUACUCAGGCAUACUGUGGGUAUAACCUUAAUUCGGGGGGGAGAAGGUUUUUUAAACCCAAUGGGAGAAAAACACUAAUUAUAGGGAACGCAUUAAUUUUGCUGCCCGUUACAAACGAUUCCCCACUAGAAUCGAGAGAGAUGCUUGCAAAUAAAGAAGAAAAAGCAGUGUGUUUAUCAAUUUUGUUAACCCUGUUGCCCUUCCCCCUCCCCGGGCCGGUAGCAAUAAAGCUCAUUAACAUGAAAA